Molecule: ribosomal RNA, 515 nt
Filed under: uncultured bacterium
Lineage: Bacteria
Description: partial 16S ribosomal RNA
Rfam family: Bacterial small subunit ribosomal RNA
Source: RNAcentral
GAUGAACGCUGGCGGCGUGCCUAAUACAUGCAAGUCGAGCGAAUGGAUUAAGAGCUUGCUCUUAUGAAGUUAGCGGCGGACGGGUGAGUAACACGUGGGUAACCUGCCCAUAAGACUGGGAUAACUCCGGGAAACCGGGGCUAACACCGGAUAACAUUUUGAACCGCAUGGUUCGAAAUUGAAAGGCGGCUUCGGCUGUCACUUAUGGAUGGACCCGCGUCGCAUUAGCUAGUUGGUGAGGUAACGGCGCACCAAGGCAACGAUGCGUAGCCGACCUGAGAGGGUGAUCGGCCACACUGGGACUGGGACCCGGCCCAGACUCCGACGGGAGGCAGCAGUAGGGAAUCUUCCGCAAUGGACGAAAGUCUGACGGAGCAACGCCGCGUGAGUGAUGAAGGCUUUCGGGUCGUAAAACUCUGUUGUUAGGGAGGAACAAGUGCUAGUUGAAUAAGCUGGCACCUUGACGGUACCUAACCAGAAAGCCACGGCUAACUACGUGCCAGCCGCCGCCGUAA